CCCUUAGAUGUCCGGGGCCGCACGCGCGCUACACUGAAGGAAUCAGCGUGGCUUUCUCCCUGACCCGAAAGGGUUGGGAAACCCGUUGAAUCUCCUUCGUGAUAGGGAUUGGGGCUUGAAAUUGUUCCCCAUGAACGAGGAAUUCCCAGUAAGCGCGAGUCAUAAGCUCGCGUUGAUUACGUCCCUGCCCUUUGUACACACCGCCCGUCGCUACUACCGAUUGAACGGUUUAGUGAGGGCCUCGGAUUGGUCUCGGCCCGCUCUUUACCGGGCGGGGCCGUUGGUCGAGAAGACGCUCGAACUUGAUCGUUUAGAGGAAGUAAAAGUCGUAACA
RNAcentral lists this ribosomal RNA (334 nucleotides) under uncultured eukaryote. RNAcentral's name for it is "partial 18S ribosomal RNA". It matches the Rfam family "Eukaryotic small subunit ribosomal RNA", at positions 1470 to 1796 of the family's 1831-position model. The record is from RNAcentral.